AACGAACGUUAGCGGCGCGCUUAACACAUGCAAGUCGAGCGAGAAAGGGGCAACCCCGGUAAAGCGGCGCACGGGUGAGUAACACGUAGGUAAUCUACCCUCGGGUGGAGGAUAACUUUCCGAAAGGAAGGCUAAUACUGCAUGAGACCACGGCCUCGAAAGGGGCAGGGGUCAAAGCCGGCCUCUAUACACAAGCUGGCGCCUGAGGAUGAGCCUGCGGCCCAUCAGCUAGUUGGUAGGUAAUGGCCUACCAAGGCGAAGACGGGUAGCUGGUCUGAGAGGAUGAUCAGCCACACUGGAACUGAGACACGGUCCAGACUCCUACGGGAGGCAGCAGUGGGGAAUCUUGCGCAAUGGGCGAAAGCCUGACGCAGCGACGCCGCGUGAGUGAAGAAGGCC
RNAcentral lists this ribosomal RNA (399 nucleotides) under uncultured bacterium. RNAcentral describes it as "bacterial SSU rRNA". It matches the Rfam family "Bacterial small subunit ribosomal RNA", at positions 29 to 416 of the family's 1533-position model. The record is from RNAcentral.